RNAcentral lists this ribosomal RNA (433 nucleotides) under uncultured bacterium. RNAcentral's name for it is "partial 16S ribosomal RNA". It matches the Rfam family "Bacterial small subunit ribosomal RNA", at positions 29 to 507 of the family's 1533-position model. The record is from RNAcentral.
AACGAACGCUGGCGGCAUGCCUAACACAUGCAAGUCGAACGAGACCUUCGGGUCUAGUGGCGUACGGGUGCGUAACGCGUGGGAACCUGCCCUUAGGCUCGGAAUAACUCCCCGAAAGGGGUGCUAAUACCGGAUAAUGUCUUCGGACCAAAGAUUUAUCGCCUUUGGAUGGGCCCGCGUUGGAUUAGCUAGUUGGUAGGGUAAAAGCCUACCAAGGCGACGAUCCAUAGCUGGUCUGAGAGGAUGAUCAGCCACACUGGGACUGAGACACGGCCCAGACUCCUACGGGAGGCAGCAGUGGGGAAUAUUGGACAAUGGGCGAAAGCCUGAUCCAGCAAUGCCGCGUGAGUGAUGAAGGCCUUAGGGUUGUAAAGCUCUUUUACCCGGGAUGAUAAUGACAGUACCGGGAGAAUAAGCUCCGGCUAACUCCGUG